CAUUAAUGUUUGACAUGGUCACACACAAAGAUAAAAAAAUACCGAUUGCUAAUCUGAAUGAGAAUUUUACCGUUCAUAUUAGCAGAACUGCAUAGAAACUUUAAUACUAAGUCAAUUUAUUCCACAAUGCUUUCAUCUCCAUGCUCCAAACUGGAGCCAGCGAAUUUCAGAUAAGCAGGCCCUGAUUUAGGAAGGUGUGCAGAAGAGGAAAUUUUCAUAUGCACGAAAGAAGUCAGUGGGAUGGAAGUAAACCUGUGCAGUUAAGAAUGAGCUUUAGCAAUGCCUUGCAGAAAGCACAGAUGUCAAAAUUUGCUUAAAUAGUAUAUUGAAUCAGGGCCUUAUAGAACAAAGUGUGAGGCCCAGACAGUUCCAAAUUCUGUGUACAACACCAUGAAACGUUUUACUUUUGUCUUGUGUAUAUGUAAAUGUCAUCGUGAUAUUGACUUAUUUAUUAAUUCAUUUUCUUAUACUGUGUGCCAAGUAUAUUCCUACCCUUUUGAGCAGCACCUGUGAACAUCAAUUACUAAAAAUAAUGUUAUGCAAACUUGUGCAUUGUAACCAGGAAAAUGAUGCUAAUAAGCUGUUGCAUGUAGUUUAAAAUACUUAAGAAAACCCUUUAUUUAAAAAAUGUAAAUGAAUACCUGCCGAUGUUAAUGAUUAUAUAUGGUUUUGCAUGCCAAAACUCAUUGUUCAGUUGUGGGCAUGAAAUGUAAUGACUGUAUUACCUCUACUGAAUAUAUUAGUAAGGUACAAUUUACAAAGUAAUUAUCAGAGCUCUAUAUGUAAAAUUUUUCCUUCUGAUUUAAUUAUAUCGUAGUAGAGGUAACAGAACUGCUUCUGUUACCCAGAUUGGCUGUAGAAAUUAUGUUCCCAUAACACUCAUUUAAAAUCAGUAUUUAUUUAUGUAUGUAAUACAAAAAGAUUGCUCUUACGUGUUUGUCCCGUUAUUUAGAAAAAAAAAAAAAAAGAAAUACACUUGUAAAAACAAUUUGUAAAAAAAAUGUAAAUAGAGUCUGAUUUCUUUUGCUCACUAUUUUCAUGUUUAGAAUUUGUACAUACUUCUUUAGGUAAUAAACUAUCCUACAUCAAAA
Molecule: long non-coding RNA, 1091 nt
Filed under: Strigops habroptila (Kakapo)
Lineage: Eukaryota; Metazoa; Chordata; Aves; Psittaciformes; Psittacidae
Description: lncRNA (ENSSHBG00005019321.1)
Source: RNAcentral